Molecule: ribosomal RNA, 254 nt
Filed under: uncultured bacterium
Lineage: Bacteria
Description: partial 16S ribosomal RNA
Rfam family: Bacterial small subunit ribosomal RNA
Source: RNAcentral
UACGUAGGGGCCAAGCGUUGUCCGGAUUUAUUGGGCGUAAAGAGCUCGUAGGCGGUUCAGCAAGUCGGGUGUGAAAACUCUGGGCUCAACCCAGAGACGCCACCCGAUACUGCUGUGACUAGAGUCCGGUAGGGGAGUGGGGAAUUCCUGGUGUAGCGGUGAAAUGCACAGAUAUCAGGAGGAACACCGGUGGCGAAGGCGCCACUCUGGGCCGGCACUGACGCUGAGGAGCGAAAGCGUGGGUAGCAAACAGG